Molecule: long non-coding RNA, 1557 nt
Organism: Magallana angulata
Lineage: Eukaryota; Metazoa; Mollusca; Bivalvia; Ostreida; Ostreidae
Exons: 3
Source: RefSeq, a predicted model, not a curated record
GGAAGAUUCUCAUCCGGUGGAAGAAUCCCAAGCUUUCUCAACUGUAAAAAAAAGUUGUUUUUUUAAAUGGAUUGUAUCCUCCCUGCUCAACCUUGUCAAAGAAAAGAAAACAGUAUAGAUAUAGUAAUGGAUCCGGUACCAGAGGGAUAAACCACAGACUUUACAAAAGACUUCCAUUAUAAAGCUAUACAUUAAGUUCAUAGAAAGAUACCAAGAAGAUAGAAUUAAAUAUAUUUGUACCAUGCAGGAAGUGUACUACUGAGCACCAACACUUCUUCCCUGCUACAAAUUAACAAAUUUUGAGUUUCUCACAUGAGUGGAUACUCUACCUAAAUAUUUAUUCGAUAUUAAAACUGUAGAAAGAGAAAUGUACAUUUCCUGGUAUAUGGUAGUUGUAUUUUGGACAGCAGUGAUGGUGUGGAAUAUUAAUACUUAGACCUGCUGGUCUUAUAUAUAUAUACAUAUAUUGUCAUAUCAAUCUGGCUGGACAUGAUGACAUUUUGAUGAUAAACAUCAUUUACAUGUCCAGCAAAAGUCACCAUUUAUCAACCUUAAUCCCUCAGAUUCGUGAAUCAGAAUAAACUUCCCAUGAAUGUCUUUUGUUGGAUUAUUAUCAUUAUUAAUAACCGUAAUUCAUCACCGAGAUUACAAACAGGUAAAAACACUUCUGGGAUUUUAAAAUCCACUUCUCAAUCACAUUUUUAAAUGAAUGCAUGCUUGCAUGUUUUCUUGAUUGUGUGGCAUGGAGCUAGAUAUUUAAGAACUUAAUUGUUCAUGCCACCAUAAACAGCAACACAAUUCAUCCUUGUAGGAUAAUUCAACUGAUUUUAUAUCUUAAUUCAAGUUCAAAUUCACAUCUCUCCUUUUCAAAAAUUUCUUCUUGAAUUUUAUUCAUGUUACACAGUUAGGAGGUACAAAAGGACGAAUAGCCAAGUAUUUCGGUCUUGAAAUUCAAUGUGAAAGAAAUACUGUGAGAGCUUAUAAGUGAAGACCAAGGGAAUAUUUUUUUUAUAGAAGUUACCAUGAGUAAUCAAUCAUGAGAAAUGAUUUUUCAUACUCAAGAUUUGGUUAUGAAUGCUUUUUAAUGCAGGCAUUACCUUCAGGAAUUUAUAACAUUUAUAGAGAUACACAUGUAGUUUAUAAAUACAUGUAUUUAGAUCAUUGCUAGAAAAUCUAUGUUCUUAUCGAACUUCCUUACUUCCUCGAAAAAUGAAUCAUAUUUAUGAUUGUUAGCUAUCUCUGAGUGUCCAUGCAGAUGGUACACAAUGAAUGCAUGGAAGCCCCACUCCUAAAUACCAGUAGCUUUAUUUCUGAUAAAUCACAAAUUUGAGUAAAUUACGUAACACCUACUCAUGCCCUCAGAACAAUAAUUGUUUUAUUACCCCAGGACACUGCUCUUAUCAGUAGCAGUAUUUACAGGUAAUUCAAGGAAUUUUUUUUUAAAUUGGUAUGUUUGAACACUGAGACUCUGAAGCCUAACGGCUUCCCAUUUUGUGUGCCUCACUUAUGUUUAUACUUAGAACUUGUACAAUACUGAUGAGCUUAUAUGGCUCAAAG